CACAUUAGAGUUAGUUCCCAACCACCAUAUUAAAACCACAGACGAAGAAGAAGAACUAUUCAUUUUCCGGGUCACUUUAUUAAUGGUACCUGAUUCUCAAAACAGCAAGAAUCCCGAGGCAGUGUUUAAAAUUUUAACUAAACAUCACAAGAGCAAUACCAUGUCAGACACGGAGACAAAACCCUCAAGUGGAGAUGGAAGUGAGAAGAAGGAUGGAGAGUACAUUAAACUGAAGGUGAUUGGUCAGGACAACAGCGAAAUUCACUUCAAAGUGAAGAUGACAACACAUCUAAAGAAGCUAAAGGAAUCGUACAGUCAAAGACAGGGUGUACCAAUGAACACCCUAAGGUUUCUUUUUGAAGGACAGAGAAUCUCAGACAACCAAACCCCCAAAGAGCUUGGAAUGGAAGAUGAGGAUGUCAUUGAAGUGUAUCAGGAACAGACCGGUGGACUUUGGCAUGAUUAGACUUGCUAUAUUUUUUUCUCAUUUUGAAUUUUGUAUGUAUUUUGCUUUUGUGCUUCGCACCAUCUGGAUCACACACUCUAUUGGAGCUUCCAUGUGUGAGGGCACAAAGAACGGCUGUGUUAGAAUGGAUAGACGAUCUGUUCUUUCUCCUUUUAAACACCUCGCACAAUCAUUUUUUCUCCCUCCUUUACAAUUCAGGUAACAUUGUAGUGCAGACAGUGUCAUAGCUGAAUGUCCCCUAUUGAGAUGACAUGCAUACAAUGACUGGUUUUCUCUACACUCUGCUACACAUGCUUCUUUCGCACCUAAAGUUGGAAUAUACCGCCUCUGAAUGCUAAAGCAUUGUUUUGAAUCUGUUUAAAAGUCCCAGUUUCCUACCACUGAUGGAUAUGGUCUAAUGAUAUAUAAAAAUGUUUUUAUGAUCGUGAUGUAUAUUUUGCAUCCAGUAUUUGUGUUUAAUAAUUAUUAACGUCUGUCCGUAGUCAGGGUUCCCCAACUGGCAGGCCAAAAACAAUAUUUUUAAUUGUUGGACAUAAGACUGUAAAAACACCAGCGAACCUGCUACAAGUGAUUUUAAUUUUGGAUAUCUGUUUCAAAGAGAGAGAUGUGAUCAUAUACACAUGUAAGCAAGGCUUGAAAUUAUGUUUUAGUCAGAUAUAUCUGUUUGGGUUUCUUGGUCAAUGUGCAGUCUCCAAAUUAUUCGUAAUUAUGUUCUGACCACCCGUUCAAGAAAAAAAUCAGCCCGUGGCUGAAUCUAGUUGAUGAUGCCUUUCUUUUUAUUUCUAUUUGAGUUAUGUUCAUGUUCAGAUAAUUAAGGGGUUAAAGUUUCUGUUUAUUCUCUGGCCUCUUCUUGGAUUUAAAUGUUUUUUUCUUGUUUGUCUGUCUUUUUUUUAAUCAAGAUAAUCUUGCUGUGUUGAAUCACAACAGUAGCGACACAUAGUAAUGUCAAUGCAACACAUGACUCCUUAUGGAGGCAUUGAUCCGGAUGGUUUGAAGCAGAUCAUUUUUCUUUUUUUGAAUAAAAUGUUUAACAAAAACAGG
Non-coding RNA from Salmo salar (Atlantic salmon), 1507 nucleotides. The record is from RefSeq and is a predicted model, not a curated record. NCBI's taxonomy places the organism in Eukaryota, Metazoa, Chordata, Actinopteri, Salmoniformes, Salmonidae.